Long non-coding RNA from Solanum dulcamara, 1401 nucleotides. RefSeq lists it as uncharacterized. NCBI's taxonomy places the organism in Eukaryota, Viridiplantae, Streptophyta, Magnoliopsida, Solanales, Solanaceae. The transcript has 3 exons. The record is from RefSeq and is a predicted model, not a curated record.
AAUUGAGAUGAAUUAAAUUAAAUAGUGGGAUGAAAAGUGAUCCCACUGCCACAUGGCCAAUUCUAAUUGGCCCAUGCUUUAGUAGGGGACAUCUAGUCACCUUGGGCAGCACACAUGGUCUUCAUUUUGACCAAAAUAGCAGCCAAAAACGUGUCCCAACUCCAUAAUGUUCAAGAAAGAGAGAGAAUUCCUCAUCUUCUCCAAAUUUCCUAAACUUUUGAGAAAGAAAGAAUAGAGAGAAGUAACGAGAUAGAGAGGCGGACAAGCUUGAGAGUGAGGGAGAAAUUGAGGGAUUAAGUGUGGUGAUUAUUCAAGGUUAUGGAAGCAAGGAUGGAUCCAUUAGAGAAGCAAAAAAAACGUUUUUGACCAAGCCCUCAAAUUUUCAAGCAAAUUGUUUCAUAAAAGCCUAAGGUAUGAGGCAGCAUAUACAUGUUGUGUGUGAAUAAACACUAAAGGUACCAAAAUUUGAUUUGCUGAUCCGCCGGUUUAGGACAUCUGCUGUGUUAUUGACAGUGCUCCCUUGUUCGGAGCUUGUAUUUUGGUACUGACUUUAUCUCUGUAUAUUUGAAUAUGUUGGUCAGGGGUACGACGGGGCCCUGUCCCAUCAUAUGGCUAUGCUAUCAUCUGUAGAGGUCUGUAGACAGAGUUAUGUUGUGGGUUUUGUAUAUAUGGUUUGGGUUUUGUGUAUUUUGUGACGGUCUAUCAACCCUCGUGCCUAUAUCUACUUUUAUGAUAUAUUUAGUAAUUUCUUCUAAUCACUACAUAUGUUUAUUCGAUUAAAAAGGCUAAUUUGGGAUUAGGGUAUGUUUGGGUGCCCAACUCGGGCACCAGUCGCGGCCUACGGGGUUGGGUCGUGACAAAAGUGGUAUCAGAGCGGUUUGGUCCUCGGAAUGUCUACAGACCGUGUCUAGUAGAGUCUUGUUUAUCGGUGUGUUGUGCACCACAUCUAUAAACAGGAGGUUACAGGACAUUUAGGAUGUUUCAUUUCUUUCAUAUCUAAGAUCGUGUGAUAGAGCCCAACAAUAGGACAUGCAAUUCUUUUUCUAACCUUUAAUAUCAGUUGAAAAAUGGCAUCGAUAAAAGAAAGUGACUGAUGAUAUUGGAAGCUACACAGUAUACAGGUAAGUAAUGGUGCGAAGGAGGCAUGCUGGAUAAGGUAAGAAUAUUGUAACAUGAUUGAUAUGUAAAGUUAAAAAUUGAUAGGAAAAGUAGAUAGGAAAGUGUAACGGAUGCAGUUCGAGUUGGACAUACGAGGUAAGUCCAUCAUUUUCAUACUGUUGUUGAUAUUGGGCGCCCUGUGUGGUUGAGAUAUGAUAUGAUAUGAAUAUAUAUAUGUUGGCCCUGUGAGGCAUUGUUGGUAUUUUAUGCGUGCAGAUUUUGGGAUAGUAUGAAAUACAGAGG